This 253-nucleotide ribosomal RNA is filed under the name uncultured bacterium. RNAcentral's name for it is "partial 16S ribosomal RNA". It matches the Rfam family "Bacterial small subunit ribosomal RNA", at positions 524 to 776 of the family's 1533-position model. The record is from RNAcentral.
GACGGAGGAUGCAAGUGUUAUCCGGAAUCACUGGGCGUAAAGCGUCUGUAGGUGGUUUAAUAAGUCAACUGUUAAAUCUUGAGGCUCAACCUCAAAAUCGCAGUCGAAACUAUUAGGCUAGAGUAUAGUAGGGGUAAAGGGAAUUUCCAGUGGAGCGGUGAAAUGCGUAGAGAUUGGAAAGAACACCGAUGGCGAAGGCGGGUCUCUGGGCAGUAACUGACGCUGAGGAGCGAAAGCGUGGGGAGCGAACAGG